This 83-nucleotide transfer RNA is filed under the name Nippostrongylus brasiliensis. It matches the Rfam family "tRNA". From Rfam's summary of the family: Transfer RNA (tRNA) molecules are approximately 80 nucleotides in length. Lineage: Eukaryota; Metazoa; Nematoda; Chromadorea; Rhabditida; Heligmosomidae. The record is from Rfam by way of RNAcentral.
UGCUUGGUGGCCGAGUAGUUAAGGCGUUGGACCUCAGUUCCAAUGGACGGUAGGGCUCGUGGGUUCUAACCCCACCCGCGCUA